GACGAACGCUGGCGGCGUGCUUAACACAUGCAAGUCGAACGGAAAGGCCCUUCGGGGUACUCGAGUGGCGAACGGGUGGGUAACACGUGGGUGAUCUGCCCUGCACUUUGGGAUAAGCCUGGGAAACUGGGUCUAAUACCGAAUAGGACCACGCGCUUCAUGGUGUGUGGUGGAAAGCUUUUGCGGUGUGGGAUGGGCCCGCGGCCUAUCAGCUUGUUGGUGGGGUAAUGGCCUACCAAGGCGACGACGGGUAGCCGGCCUGAGAGGGUGACCGGCCACACUGGGACUGAGAUACGGCCCAGACUCCUACGGGAGGCAGCAGUGGGGAAUAUUGCACAAUGGGCGCAAGCCUGAUGCAGCGACGCCGCGUGAGGGAUGACGGCCUUCGGGUUGUAAACCUCUUUCAAUAGGGACGAAGCGCAAGUGACGGUACCUAUAGAAGAAGCACCGGCCAACUACGUG
RNAcentral lists this ribosomal RNA (462 nucleotides) under uncultured bacterium. RNAcentral describes it as "partial 16S ribosomal RNA". It matches the Rfam family "Bacterial small subunit ribosomal RNA", at positions 28 to 507 of the family's 1533-position model. The record is from RNAcentral.